This 1409-nucleotide ribosomal RNA is filed under the name Streptococcus thermophilus. Its description in RNAcentral is "bacterial SSU rRNA". It matches the Rfam family "Bacterial small subunit ribosomal RNA". Lineage: Bacteria; Bacillati; Bacillota; Bacilli; Lactobacillales; Streptococcaceae. The record is from RNAcentral.
GUAGAACGCUGAAGAGAGGAGCUUGCUCUUCUUGGAUGAGUUGCGAACGGGUGAGUAACGCGUAGGUAACCUGCCUUGUAGCGGGGGAUAACUAUUGGAAACGAUAGCUAAUACCGCAUAACAAUGGAUGACACAUGUCAUUUAUUUGAAAGGGGCAAUUGCUCCACUACAAGAUGGACCUGCGUUGUAUUAGCUAGUAGGUGAGGUAAUGGCUCACCUAGGCGACGAUACAUAGCCGACCUGAGAGGGUGAUCGGCCACACUGGGACUGAGACACGGCCCAGACUCCUACGGGAGGCAGCAGUAGGGAAUCUUCGGCAAUGGGGGCAACCCUGACCGAGCAACGCCGCGUGAGUGAAGAAGGUUUUCGGAUCGUAAAGCUCUGUUGUAAGUCAAGAACGGGUGUGAGAGUGGAAAGUUCACACUGUGACGGUAGCUUACCAGAAAGGGACGGCUAACUACGUGCCAGCAGCCGCGGUAAUACGUAGGUCCCGAGCGUUGUCCGGAUUUAUUGGGCGUAAAGCGAGCGCAGGCGGUUUGAUAAGUCUGAAGUUAAAGGCUGUGGCUCAACCAUAGUUCGCUUUGGAAACUGUCAAACUUGAGUGCAGAAGGGGAGAGUGGAAUUCCAUGUGUAGCGGUGAAAUGCGUAGAUAUAUGGAGGAACACCGGUGGCGAAAGCGGCUCUCUGGUCUGUAACUGACGCUGAGGCUCGAAAGCGUGGGGAGCGAACAGGAUUAGAUACCCUGGUAGUCCACGCCGUAAACGAUGAGUGCUAGGUGUUGGAUCCUUUCCGGGAUUCAGUGCCGCAGCUAACGCAUUAAGCACUCCGCCUGGGGAGUACGACCGCAAGGUUGAAACUCAAAGGAAUUGACGGGGGCCCGCACAAGCGGUGGAGCAUGUGGUUUAAUUCGAAGCAACGCGAAGAACCUUACCAGGUCUUGACAUCCCGAUGCUAUUUCUAGAGAUAGAAAGUUACUUCGGUACAUCGGUGACAGGUGGUGCAUGGUUGUCGUCAGCUCGUGUCGUGAGAUGUUGGGUUAAGUCCCGCAACGAGCGCAACCCCUAUUGUUAGUUGCCAUCAUUCAGUUGGGCACUCUAGCGAGACUGCCGGUAAUAAACCGGAGGAAGGUGGGGAUGACGUCAAAUCAUCAUGCCCCUUAUGACCUGGGCUACACACGUGCUACAAUGGUUGGUACAACGAGUUGCGAGUCGGUGACGGCGAGCUAAUCUCUUAAAGCCAAUCUCAGUUCGGAUUGUAGGCUGCAACUCGCCUACAUGAAGUCGGAAUCGCUAGUAAUCGCGGAUCAGCACGCCGCGGUGAAUACGUUCCCGGGCCUUGUACACACCGCCCGUCACACCACGAGAGUUUGUAACACCCGAAGUCGGUGAGGUAACCUUUUGGAGCCAGCC